UACAGAGGGUGCAAGCGUUAAUCGGAGUUACUGGGCGUAAAGCGCACGUAGGCGGAUAUAAAAGUCAGAUGUGAAAUCCCUGGGCUUAACCUAGGAACUGCAUUUGAUACUAUAUGUCUAGAGUAUGGUAGAGGGAAGUGGAAUUUCCGGUGUAGCGGUGAAAUGCAUAGAUAUCGGAAGGAACAUCAGUGGCGAAGGCGACUUCCUGGACCAAUACUGACGCUGAGGUGCGAAAGCAUGGGGAGCAAACAGG
RNAcentral lists this ribosomal RNA (253 nucleotides) under uncultured bacterium. RNAcentral's name for it is "partial 16S ribosomal RNA". It matches the Rfam family "Bacterial small subunit ribosomal RNA", at positions 524 to 776 of the family's 1533-position model. The record is from RNAcentral.